Long non-coding RNA from Rosa chinensis, 1382 nucleotides. RefSeq lists it as uncharacterized. The transcript is spliced from 6 exons. NCBI's taxonomy places the organism in Eukaryota, Viridiplantae, Streptophyta, Magnoliopsida, Rosales, Rosaceae. The record is from RefSeq and is a predicted model, not a curated record.
AAAUAUAGAAGAUGUUUUCAUUCGCCGAACAACCCAAAAAAUAAAAAUAUUUAGGGAUCUAAAAUCACUCGAGUCCCAAAACCCCACCCCCACCCCUCUCUCUCAUUCCAAAUCGUUCUUCUCUCCUCCAUUCUCAUCACCCAGCAAUCUCCACCAUCGCGUUGCCGUGACCGCCGCGGUCAUUUGCCACAUCAUCACCAUACUCGAUUUGGCUCUCACUGGACCAGCUUCUCAACUAUGCGCUAAUCUACAUCACCAAUCCAUCGCCGUUUUGGAGUAUGGAAGACGAUAUAGAAGAGUUCUCUUCUCCUGAAGAUACUAUCAAGCUAUUGUUCAGGUCGCUAUGCAAUCUGCAAUGCAAGAAGUUAUGAGUCUUUUGGUAGACAGGUCCAAUUUUGGGGAUACUUUUAGUCCCAAUCUCAUUUAGUUGCAGUUGACUGAUUGUUCAGAUUCAGAUGUGCGUCGGUCAACACAAUAUCAAACAUCCUGUAGUAGUCCUAAAGUCCCGUUGCAUGGAAGUGGAGUUUUAACUUCUCAAUCAUCCUACCAUAGCAUUGGAAGAAAAAAGAAUCAUAUUUUAGAUGUUCCAGCUUCUGUGGUCUGUGCUUGGUCGUCAUUGGUAUAGUCCCUGGUGGAAGGAAGGUUUAUGUUGGUAAAAUUGGGCAGGAGUUGACAGGUCAAACAGCCCACAGACUAUGCUCAAAGGAAAGUUGAAGCAGCUUGUGAAGGCCAGAAGAAGGAAAGCCAAAAAAUAAAAAUAGAUGAAUUUCAUGCCAUGACGGGCAUUAGUUGUAAUUGGAACUGGUGUACUUUAUCCAAAUGUUAAAGCAAAAUAUGAUGAGAAAGAACCACCGAUGUUGAAAUGGUGGUCUAUGCAACAAUGGAAACUGCUCCAAAGGGGACUGACAUGUGAUUGGUGGCUGCAUAGUGGCUAUUGAAGAUAUCAGUGGCCUUUGUCAACAAUGAGCACAGAAACUUGAUGGUGUCCUAUAGCUAUAAUUCUAGUAGUGAGCUUGCGAAAAAUUCUUGAUGGCUGUCCUCAGCUCGAGUCACUUGAUCUCCGCGGAUGUGGCAAGCUUAAUCCAAUGGGAUCUUUGGGAAGAAGACCCUUGGAUUCCCUUGAAGACUAUGAAUGAAUGAAUAUGAUGAAGUCGAUCUAGCUAUAUGAUUGCCCACAAAGGGAGUGAUCAUGCACUCUAGUGAUUUUACAAAAUUUGUUCUACUUUCAGUCUUGAAUGUUGAGGUUGAAUCUUUAUACGGCAGGUGGCUAUUCGCAAGGGAAGACAGCCUGAACGUACGGCUGAACAUACAUUCAUGUUCAAUAUUUAGUUUACUCAUUACUUCAUUAGCUAUAUUUCAGAUUGCCUUAUUGCCAUACAGCU